Molecule: long non-coding RNA, 724 nt
Organism: Triplophysa dalaica
Lineage: Eukaryota; Metazoa; Chordata; Actinopteri; Cypriniformes; Nemacheilidae
Exons: 2
Source: RefSeq, a predicted model, not a curated record
CCACGGCCAGCGGUGCCAACCAAUGCCUGCGUGGACGGCGUCAGAGAGUUCUUCACAAAGUGUUGUUUUGUGCUGAGAAGUGAAGAUUACAGGUGUCAGAUGAGGAGGAGGGCCGAGCGCUGAGAAACACAGACUCUGAAAACAGUUACUGUGUCUUCUCUAAACAUCUUCAAGGUCUCCGAUCAGGAAUAAAUUCUCAUGAGGAAGAGUUUUCGGAGAGGAGACGGUCCUGGUUCUCAGUGAGGUCUCCGUGACGGAACAUUCGCCCUCAACUCGCUGUUCCUUUUUCCUAUGCAUAUACUUCUUUGAGAUGUAUCUGUAAAGAGGCAUACGGCAUGGGAAAAUGGGGCUGUCGAGGUGUUUCACGUGUGCAGCAGAAUCUCCACCGGCCGCAUGAUCUUCAACUUCAGCGCUCACAAAACUUCAUUCAAACAAACGAUACUGAAAUGUGCAGAAUAAAAGUCCAUAUGAAGAGUUUGGUUUCAAAAUGAGAGAACUUUAUUAUGUUAUCAUGUUUUUAUUGUGUUAGUUAGCUUUUUUUUAGUUAUUAUGGCUAAAUCAAAACAAACCAAAUGCAGUUUGAAUAUAGAAUAAAAUAAUGUUAUUUUUAAAAACUUUAUAAAUGUAGUUAUCUCAUUUUGGAACCAAACUCUUCAUAUGUGUUUUAACAUCUCAUUUCAUUCAAUAAAGUAGCGUGAGAAAUCCUCACGUGUAUUCUGCUUUA